Molecule: small nucleolar RNA, 72 nt
Organism: Podarcis muralis (Common wall lizard)
Lineage: Eukaryota; Metazoa; Chordata; Lepidosauria; Squamata; Lacertidae
Source: Ensembl
CUUCUGGUGAGGAUACCUUUGUCCAGUUCUGCUUCUGAAUGGAGAGCGAUGACAGACAUUAAUCUGAAGAAG